GAUGAACGCUGGCUACAGGCUUAACACAUGCAAGUCGAGGGGAAACGACGGGGAAGCUUGCUUCCCCGGGCGUCGACCGGCGCACGGGUGAGUAACGCGUAUCCAACCUGCCUCUGACUGAGGGAUAACCCGUCGAAAGUCGGCCUAAUACCUCAUGGCAUCGUCUGCGGGCAUCCAACGACGAUUAAAGAUUUCAUCGGUCAGGGAUGGGGAUGCGUCUGAUUAGCUUGCUGGCGGGGUAACGGCCCACCAAGGCUACGAUCAGUAGGGGUUCUGAGAGGAAGGUCCCCCACAUUGGAACUGAGACACGGUCCAAACUCCUACGGGAGGCAGCAGUGAGGAAUAUUGGUCAAUGGGCGGGAGCCUGAACCAGCCAAGUAGCGUGCAGGAUGACGGCCCUAUGGGUUGUAAACUGCUUUUAUGCGGGGAUAAAGUGAGGGACGUGUCCUUCAUUGCAGGUACCGCAUGAAUAAGGACCGGCUAAUUCCGUG
RNAcentral lists this ribosomal RNA (491 nucleotides) under uncultured bacterium. RNAcentral describes it as "partial 16S ribosomal RNA". It matches the Rfam family "Bacterial small subunit ribosomal RNA", at positions 28 to 507 of the family's 1533-position model. The record is from RNAcentral.